AGUCCUGGUUGGGGGAUGAGCAUGUGGUGACAUUUUAGUAGGAAACAAAAUGUCUGACUUGUGUAAGAGGGAAGGUGGCAAUGCUGACCAAUUCAUCUUAGCUUUUCAAGUUCUGGGUAUGGCCACCUAAGUCCCUUGCCAAAGGGUAUCUUAUACCCACAAUGCACCCUUAGCUGUGGAUUAGGCCAAAAUUGGCAAACCCACAGAGGUUAAUGGAGAAGCUUGAUAAAAUCAGCCUUUUCCUAAAGGAACAGUGUAGUCUGUCCCAACACAGUUGAGGUUACAAAAUCAUAUACUGCUGGGGACCAGAUGGCAGUGGACUUGGUUGAGCAUGUAUAUUACCAUGUACAAGGACCCAGGUUCAAGCCCUCAGUCCCCACUUGUGGGAGGGAGGGGAAGCUUCACGAAUGGUGAAGCAGUGCUGCAGGUGUCUCUCCUUCUCUAUCUCCCCUUCUCCUCUCAAUUUCUCUCUGUCCUAUCAAACAAAGAAUUAAUUGGUUAAUCAAAAAUAAAUUCUAAAAAUGUA
Erinaceus europaeus (western European hedgehog) is the source of this 526-nucleotide long non-coding RNA. RefSeq lists it as uncharacterized. The transcript has 2 exons. The record is from RefSeq and is a predicted model, not a curated record. NCBI's taxonomy places the organism in Eukaryota, Metazoa, Chordata, Mammalia, Eulipotyphla, Erinaceidae.